GACGAACGCUGGCGGCGUGCUUAACACAUGCAAGUCGAACGGAAAGGCCCUGCUUUUGUGGGGUUCUCGAGUGGCGAACGGGUGAGUAACACGUGAGUAACCUGCCCUUGACUUUGGGAUAACUUCAGGAAACUGGUGCUAAUACCGGAUAGGAGCUCCUGCUGCAUGGUGGGGGUUGGAAAGUUUCGGCGGUUGGGGAUGGACGGGCGGGUUAUCAGCUUGUUGGUUGGGUAGUUGCUUACCAAGGCUUUGACGGGUAGCCGGCCUGAGAGGGUGACCGGCCACAUUGGGCCUGAGAGACGGCGCAGACUCCUACGGGAGGCAGCAGUGGGGAAUAUUGCACAAUGGGCGGAAGCCUGAUGAAGAAACGCCGCGUGCGGGAUGACGGCCUUCGGGUUGUAAACCGCUUUCGCCUGAGACGAAGCGUGAGUGACGGUAAUGGGUAAAGAAGCACCGGCUAACUACGUG
RNAcentral lists this ribosomal RNA (468 nucleotides) under uncultured bacterium. Its description in RNAcentral is "partial 16S ribosomal RNA". It matches the Rfam family "Bacterial small subunit ribosomal RNA", at positions 28 to 507 of the family's 1533-position model. The record is from RNAcentral.